Molecule: ribosomal RNA, 253 nt
Filed under: uncultured bacterium
Lineage: Bacteria
Description: partial 16S ribosomal RNA
Rfam family: Bacterial small subunit ribosomal RNA
Source: RNAcentral
UACGAGUGCCCCAAGCGUUAUCCGGAAUUAUUGGGCGUAAAGGGUGCGUAGGCGGUUUGGUAAGUCUGAUGUGAAAUCUAUGGGCUCAACUCAUAGUCUGCAUCGGAAACUGCCGGGCUUGAGUGUGGGAGAGGUGAGUGGAAUUCCUGGUGUAGCGGUGAAAUGCGUAGAUAUCAGGAGGAACACCUGUGGCGAAAGCGGCUCACUGGACCAUAACUGACGCUGAUGCACGAAAGCUAGGGGAGCAAACAGG